RNAcentral lists this ribosomal RNA (498 nucleotides) under Salmonella enterica subsp. enterica serovar Infantis. RNAcentral describes it as "partial 23S ribosomal RNA". It matches the Rfam family "Bacterial large subunit ribosomal RNA", at positions 711 to 1207 of the family's 2925-position model. Lineage: Bacteria; Pseudomonadati; Pseudomonadota; Gammaproteobacteria; Enterobacterales; Enterobacteriaceae. RNAcentral also lists the same sequence under 16 other names. The record is from RNAcentral.
AGACCCGAAACCCGGUGAUCUAGCCAUGGGCAGGUUGAAGGUUGGGUAACACUAACUGGAGGACCGAACCGACUAAUGUUGAAAAAUUAGCGGAUGACCUGUGGCUGGGGGUGAAAGGCCAAUCAAACCGGGAGAUAGCUGGUUCUCCCCGAAAGCUAUUUAGGUAGCGCCUCGUGAAUUCAUCUCCGGGGGUAGAGCACUGUUUCGGCUAGGGGGCCAUCCCGGCUUACCAACCCGAUGCAAACUGCGAAUACCGGAGAAUGUUAUCACGGGAGACACACGGCGGGUGCUAACGUCCGUCGUGAAGAGGGAAACAACCCAGACCGCCAGCUAAGGUCCCAAAGUCAUGGUUAAGUGGGAAACGAUGUGGGAAGGCCCAGACAGCCAGGAUGUUGGCUUAGAAGCAGCCAUCAUUUAAAGAAAGCGUAAUAGCUCACUGGUCGAGUCGGCCUGCGCGGAAGAUGUAACGGGGCUAAACCAUGCACCGAAGCUGCGGCA